This is a long non-coding RNA of Triplophysa dalaica, 1117 nucleotides long. RefSeq lists it as uncharacterized. The record is from RefSeq and is a predicted model, not a curated record. Lineage: Eukaryota; Metazoa; Chordata; Actinopteri; Cypriniformes; Nemacheilidae. The transcript has 4 exons.
AGGCACGUCAGAAUCCAAUGUUUUCUUUACUUCCGGUGUCCCGAGAAACCUUCAUCGGGUCGAAUUUUGAAGGCCUCACGGAUCCGCGCGGUGAUUGGUCGAGCAGGUGGCCAAGCGGCUGGAGCACAGUUUUCAUGUGUGCGAACCUGAUCGAUGACAAACAGGGCAACAACGGCAUUAGCGAAAAGAGAGGGCGUUGCUAUGGGCGAGAGUGAUGGUAACGUCAAACAUGGCGUCGCAAUGAGCUUGAGAUUCAGUCACGUUCUUGAAGGAUAGAAGGAUACACGUCUAAAUGGCGGACAAAAGGAGCAGAGAGAGGGGGAGCGAGACAAAGAGAUUCUGGACGGACAGAUGGAGCGAAGGAAAGAUGGAUGGAGAGUAUGACUGAACCGGUAAUGACGGAAACAGACGAAUGAGUGACAAAGAGUGACGGCGUCCGAGUUGAUUCUUUUCUCGUCCAACCUUGUUUACAACACUACACUACAUACCAUCCCGCAGCAUGUCAUUUGUGUGACAUAUAUGGACUUCAAAUAUUUGUUUUUACAUGCUGGACACAAACAGCAAAGCAUAUGCGUCCCAGAAUAGUUCAUCUUCUGGGUAUCUGUAAUUAAAAGACGGUCUUCAGCACUGACUUGUACGAGAAUUUCAAACUUGCUUUACGAGUUUCUGUGUUUCUAUCCGAAGUUGUUUCAUAAUCCUUUUGAACUGACCAUAAGCACUGGGUUAGACGCUUGGUUUCUAUUACAGACUCUUUGUUGGACUAAAAGGAAUGCCUCACAGUUUCUACAUGCGGGCCUUGUCAUUUUAACAGACAACCAUAUUUUAGUUUUUUCUCCAUAUUUAGUUUUGUCCCCUUGGCAAGUUCAUUUAUCAAUCUGGAUUUCUCAAUCAUCUCUUUCGCACCUGAGUCUCUACAGACACACAUGCGCACACAUACAGAUGAGGAAGAGUAACACACGCAGUCAGACCCAAACACACCUACUGUCUGAACCCUGGACGGAUUAAUCCUGUCUGAUAAAGCCAGUCCAAAGCUUACAACAACAACAUCUGUGCUGUGCGCAUGUAUGUAUGUAAGUGUGUACUGUGUCUGUGUAGGUUUAGGUUUGACACAUAAGUG